CAAUAGCGUAUAUUAAAGUUGUUGCAGUUAAAAAGCUCGUAGUUGGAUUUGUGGCGUACGGUGUGUUCCGGGCACUUGUUGUCUGAGUAACCUGCUGUUGCCAUCCUUGGGUGGAACCUGUGUGGCAUUAGGUUGUCGUGCAGGGGAUGCCCAUCAUUUACUGUGAAAAAAUUAGAGUGUUCAAAGCAGGCUUAUGCCGUUGAAUAUAUUAGCAUGGAAUAAUGGGAUAGGACUUUUUUGCUAUUUUGUUGGUUUGCGCAAAGAGGUAAUGAUUAAUAGGGACAGUUGGGGGUAUUCGUAUUCCAUAGUCAGAGGUGAAAUUCUUGGAUUUUUGGAAGACGAACUACUGCGAAAGCAUUUACCAAGGAUGUUUUCAUUAA
Molecule: ribosomal RNA, 380 nt
Filed under: uncultured eukaryote
Lineage: Eukaryota
Description: partial 18S ribosomal RNA
Rfam family: Eukaryotic small subunit ribosomal RNA
Source: RNAcentral